GGGCCUAUAGCUCAGCUGGUUAGAGCACACGCCUGAUAAGCGUGAGNCNGUGGUCGAGUCCAUUUAGGCCACCA
Molecule: transfer RNA, 74 nt
Filed under: Garlic decline phytoplasma
Lineage: Bacteria; Bacillati; Mycoplasmatota; Mollicutes; Acholeplasmatales; Acholeplasmataceae
Description: tRNA-Ile
Rfam family: tRNA
About the family: Transfer RNA (tRNA) molecules are approximately 80 nucleotides in length. Their secondary structure includes four short double-helical elements and three loops (D, anti-codon, and T loops).
Source: RNAcentral